This 344-nucleotide unclassified non-coding RNA is filed under the name soil metagenome. RNAcentral's name for it is "partial contains 5.8S ribosomal RNA, internal transcribed spacer 2, and large subunit ribosomal RNA". The stretch from base 1 to 120 matches the Rfam family "5.8S ribosomal RNA", at positions 35 to 154 of the family's 154-position model. The record is from RNAcentral.
GAUGAAGAACGCAGCGAAAUGCGAUAAGUAAUGUGAAUUGCAGAAUUCAGUGAAUCAUCGAAUCUUUGAACGCACAUUGCGCCCGCCAGUAUUCUGGCGGGCAUGCCUGUUCGAGCGUCAUUUCAACCCUCAGGGCCCUUUUGGACCUGGCGUUGGGGCUCGACCGCUACCCUGCGGCCGUCCCCGAAAGAUAGUGGCGGUCUCGCUGUAGCCUCCUCUGCGUAGUAGUUACAUCUCGCACUGGAACGCGGCGCGGCCAUGCCGUUAAACACCCCACUUCUCAAGGUUGACCUCGGAUCAGGUAGGAAUACCCGCUGAACUUAAGCAUAUCAAUAAGCGGAGGA